UUACCGUCGUCUGCCUCCAUACAAACCCUCAUUGCGACUCUUGCAAUUCGAUGUCGACCGAUUCGCCUAAGCUCACACAACGGUGGUUUGUCGGAAUUAGAAACCAAAACAUUUAUGAGAGUACCAUCGAGAGCACCGAGACAACCCUGCACAUAAUAGAUUCAAGGCAUGUAUUGCCUCAGGUUUGACGAUAAACAAUGUGUGCGUUUUCAAGUUAGCUCGAAGUACCUCAUGGACGUAG
Molecule: long non-coding RNA, 241 nt
Organism: Salvia splendens (bonfire salvia)
Lineage: Eukaryota; Viridiplantae; Streptophyta; Magnoliopsida; Lamiales; Lamiaceae
Exons: 3
Source: RefSeq, a predicted model, not a curated record